CCUACGGGGGGCAGCAGUGGGGAAUAUUGGGCAAUGGGCGCAAGCCUGACCCAGCAACGCCGCGUGAAGGAAGAAGGCUUUCGGGUUGUAAACUUCUUUUCUCAGGGACGAAGCAAGUGACGGUACCUGAGGAAUAAGCCACGGCUAACUACGUGCCAGCACCCGCGGGAAUACGUAGGCGGCAAGCGUUAUCCGGAUUUACUGGGUGUAAAGGGCGUGUAGGCGGGACUGUAAGUCAGAUGUGAAAACCACGGGCUCAACCUGUGGCCUGCAUUUGAAACUGUAGUUCUUGAGUGCUGGAGAGGCAGACGGAAUGCCUGGUGUAGCGGUGAAAUGCGUAGAGAUUAGGAGGAACACCGGUGGCGAAGGCAGUCUACUGGACAGCAACUGACGCUGAGGCGCGAAAGCGUGGGGAGCAAACAGGAUUAGAUACCCUAGUAGUC
This 443-nucleotide ribosomal RNA is filed under the name uncultured bacterium. RNAcentral describes it as "partial 16S ribosomal RNA". It matches the Rfam family "Bacterial small subunit ribosomal RNA", at positions 338 to 795 of the family's 1533-position model. The record is from RNAcentral.